CCCUUAGAUGUUCUGGGCUGCACGCGCGCUACACUGAUGCAUCCAGCGAGUUGUAACCUUGCUUGGUAAAGUUUGGUAAUCUGAGCCUAAUGUGCAUCGUGAUGGGAAUAGAGUUUUGCAACUAUUAGUCUUGAACGAGGAAUUCCUCGUAAGCACGAGUCAUCAGCUUGUGCUGAUUACGUCCCUGCCCUUUGUACACACCGCCCGUCGCUCCUACCGAUUGAAUGGUCCGGUGAAAUCUCGGGACGGCGGCUUGGUCGCUUGCGUCCGACUGCUGAAACUUGAUUAAACCAUAUCAUUUAGAGGAAGGUGAAGUCGUAACA
This 323-nucleotide ribosomal RNA is filed under the name uncultured eukaryote. RNAcentral describes it as "partial 18S ribosomal RNA". It matches the Rfam family "Eukaryotic small subunit ribosomal RNA", at positions 1470 to 1796 of the family's 1831-position model. The record is from RNAcentral.